CGACCCUACGGGAGGCAGCAGUAGGGAAUCUUCCACAAUGGGGGAAACCCUGAUGGUGCGACGCCGCGUGGGGGAAUGAAGGUCUUCGGAUUGUAAACCCCUGUCAUGUGGGAGCAAAUUAAAAAGAUAGUACCACAAGAGGAAGAGACGGCUAACUCUGUGCCAGCAGCCGCGGUAAUACAGAGGUCUCAAGCGUUGUUCGGAAUCACUGGGCGUAAAGCGUGCGUAGGCUGUUUCGUAAGUCGUGUGUGAAAGGCGCGGGCUCAACCCGCGGACGGCACAUGAUACUGCGAGACUCGAGUAAU
This 305-nucleotide ribosomal RNA is filed under the name uncultured bacterium. Its description in RNAcentral is "bacterial SSU rRNA". It matches the Rfam family "Bacterial small subunit ribosomal RNA", at positions 333 to 650 of the family's 1533-position model. The record is from RNAcentral.